This is a long non-coding RNA of Onychostoma macrolepis, 456 nucleotides long. RefSeq lists it as uncharacterized. The transcript is spliced from 4 exons. The record is from RefSeq and is a predicted model, not a curated record. Lineage: Eukaryota; Metazoa; Chordata; Actinopteri; Cypriniformes; Cyprinidae.
CAGCUACAUGCAUGGAAAGGCGCUAAAAAUAAUUUAUAGUCGCUAUAUUUACUUUUCAAUUUUUUUUAAGGUGUUGCCGAUUCUUGGAGAAUUUACAGGAUGGAAGCAAGGAAGUUUGAGUUUGUCAGUGAAGAGGAGCUUUUAAGCCUUGGAGGAGAUCAGGACUGCUGUUACUGCAGAACAUCUGUUACAGCAUCCAGUGAUCAUAUAUCCAAACGGCAUCUAACAUUUGCCAUUCACUUUAGAGUCACUAAGCAAGUUUGCAAUACCAUGUUACUGUCCUGAUUGACAAAGUGGUAGAAGGAGCCACUGGCAUUGUUCAAAGUGCAAGAAAGUAAUUCAAAGGUCUUUUGAUUUCAAAUGCCACUUAAAAAGACAUGGUCUGAUGUUCCCAGAAAAAGCCUCAGGUUGACACAUAAUACAUAACCAUCCUACACAGUAAAUGUAAUAAAGUGG